GACGAACGCUGGCGGCGUGCUUAACACAUGCAAGUCGAACGAUGAAGAAGAGAAACGCGAACUUCGGUUCAAAUUUCACUUCGGAUUAGUGGCAGACGGGUGAGUAACGCGUGAGCAACCUACCUCUUACAAAGGGAUAGCCUCGGGAAACCGUGAUUAAUACCAUAUGACACAUUCAUAAGGCAUCUUAAGAAUGUUAAAGCUACGGCGGUAAGAGAUGGGCUCGCGUCCCAUUAGCUAGUUGGUGAGGUAACGGCCAACCAAGGCGACGAUGGGUAACCGGCCUGAGAGGGUGAACGGUCACAUUGGAACUGAGACACGGUCCAAACUCCUACGGGAGGCAGCAGUGGGGAAUAUUGCACAAUGGAGGGAACUCUGAUGCAGCGACGCCGCGUGAGCGAUGAAGGAAUUCGUUUCGUAAAGCUCUGUUCUAUGGGAAGAAAAGGACUGUACCAUAGGAGAAAGCCCCGGCUAAAUACGUG
Molecule: ribosomal RNA, 482 nt
Filed under: uncultured bacterium
Lineage: Bacteria
Description: partial 16S ribosomal RNA
Rfam family: Bacterial small subunit ribosomal RNA
Source: RNAcentral